RNAcentral lists this unclassified non-coding RNA (333 nucleotides) under soil metagenome. RNAcentral's name for it is "partial contains 5.8S ribosomal RNA, internal transcribed spacer 2, and large subunit ribosomal RNA". The stretch from base 1 to 120 matches the Rfam family "5.8S ribosomal RNA", at positions 35 to 154 of the family's 154-position model. The record is from RNAcentral.
GAUGAAGAACGCAGCGAAAUGCGAUAAGUAAUGUGAAUUGCAGAAUUCAGUGAAUCAUCGAAUCUUUGAACGCACAUUGCGCCCUUUGGUAUUCCGAGGGGCAUGCCUGUUCGAGCGUCAUUACACACCUCAAGCUCUGCUUGGUAUUGGGUUCUCGUCCCGCGCGGACGUGCCCGAAACUCGUCGGCGGUGGUGCCUGGCUUCGAGCGUAGUUAUAACUUCGUUCGCUCUGGAGUCCUAGGUUCCGCCCGCCGGAUAAACUCUUUUCUCAAGGUUUGACCUCGGUUCAGGUAGGGAUACCCGCUGAACUUAAGCAUAUCCAUAAGCGGAGGA